AUUGUUCGGAUAAUGAAGACAAGGAAAGUACUAAGUCACACACUUCUGAUUACUGAACUCUUCCAACAGCUUAAGUUUCCUAUCAAGCCAGCGGAUUUGAAGAAAAGGAUAGAGAGCCUCAUCGACAGGGAGUACCUGGAGCGAGACAAGAGCAACCCUCAAAUAUACAAUUACCUAGCAUAAUUCAUUUUGCGGCACUAAAAAAUCUUCUUGUAAAUGACAUGGGAGAUGUCUGACCUCUUUAAGAGGCUACUCAAUCCCUGUCCGAUGAAUGUACAGUUAACUUGUAGUGGUUUAAUUUUGUUGCAGCCAACAAUAUAAUUGUAAAGCAUAUUAAGCUUCUCUUUUAUUCUUCGCUUCCUGUUAUAAGACGAUUUUUUAGUGCCGCAAAAUGAAUUAUG
Molecule: unclassified non-coding RNA, 401 nt
Filed under: Hevea brasiliensis (rubber tree)
Lineage: Eukaryota; Viridiplantae; Streptophyta; Magnoliopsida; Malpighiales; Euphorbiaceae
Source: RNAcentral